This 232-nucleotide ribosomal RNA is filed under the name uncultured bacterium. RNAcentral's name for it is "partial 16S ribosomal RNA". It matches the Rfam family "Bacterial small subunit ribosomal RNA", at positions 15 to 237 of the family's 1533-position model. The record is from RNAcentral.
GAUCCUGGCUCAGGAUGAACGCUAGCUACAGGCUUAACACAUGCAAGUCGGAGGGGCAGCAUGGUCUUAGCUUGCUAAGGCCGAUGGCGACCGGCGCACGGGUGAGUAACGCGUAUCCAACCUGCCUUACACUCUUGGACAGCCUUCUGAAAGGGAGAUUAAUACAAGAUGUUAUCAUGAGUAAGCAUUUUCACAUGAUUAAAGGUUUACCGGUGCAAGAUGGGGAUGCGUU